RNAcentral lists this ribosomal RNA (447 nucleotides) under uncultured bacterium. RNAcentral describes it as "partial 16S ribosomal RNA". It matches the Rfam family "Bacterial small subunit ribosomal RNA", at positions 329 to 792 of the family's 1533-position model. The record is from RNAcentral.
UCCCAGACUCCUACGGGAGGCAGCAGUGGGGGAUAUUGCACAAUGGGGGGAACCCUGAUGCAGCGACGCCGCGUGGGUGAAGGAGUAUUUCGGUAUGUAAAGCCCUAUCGGCAGGGAAGAAGCAAGACGGUACCUGACUAAGAAGCCCCGGCUAACUACGUGCCAGCAGCCGCGGUAAUACGUAGGGGGCGAGCGUUAUCCGGAUUCACUGGGUGUAAAGGGAGCGUAGGCGGUAUGUCAAGUCAAGGGUGAAAUCCCCGCGCUCAACGUGGGAACUGCCUUUGAAACUGGCAAACUGGAGUGUGUGAGAGGAUAGUGGAAUUCCAGGUGUAGGAGUGAAAUCCGUAGAUAUCUGGAGGAACAUCAGUGGCGAAGGCGACUAUCUGGCACAUAACUGACGCUGAGGAGCGAAAGCGUGGGUAGCAAACAGGAUUAGAUACCCUGGUA